Molecule: long non-coding RNA, 240 nt
Filed under: Fukomys damarensis (Damara mole-rat)
Lineage: Eukaryota; Metazoa; Chordata; Mammalia; Rodentia; Bathyergidae
Description: lncRNA (ENSFDAG00000023637.1)
Source: RNAcentral
AUGCACUCAACUUUAAUUAAGCAUCGAUCAUCUCUUGGCUACGUGACUAUCUUCCCUGUUCCUCCAGGAAAGGAGCCGCUUGGCGCUCCUUGUCAUUACCGAAGCAGAGCGAAAGCCUUCAACUGCAGACUGCUGCAAUUUCCACCCUAACAGUCAACCCAGCAAUUAGAACCGUUUGUUACAGUGACAGCAGAACAAACCACUUUCAAGCAGCAAGGCUGCCUGAGCUGCCGGAGCCCG